RNAcentral lists this transfer RNA (82 nucleotides) under Ixodes scapularis (black-legged tick). It matches the Rfam family "tRNA". From Rfam's summary of the family: Transfer RNA (tRNA) molecules are approximately 80 nucleotides in length. Their secondary structure includes four short double-helical elements and three loops (D, anti-codon, and T loops). Lineage: Eukaryota; Metazoa; Arthropoda; Arachnida; Ixodida; Ixodidae. The record is from Rfam by way of RNAcentral.
GCAGUCGUGGCCGAGUGGUUAAGGCGAUAGACUAGAAAUCCAUUGGGGUCUCCCCCCACAGGUUCGAAUCCUGUCGACUGCG